UCCUAUAGGAACUAAAAUUCCUAUAGGAAUAGUUUAAACUUUCUACUGGAAUUCCUAUAGGAAUUUUAGGUUCCUAUAGGA
Molecule: non-coding RNA, 81 nt
Organism: Paramuricea clavata
Lineage: Eukaryota; Metazoa; Cnidaria; Anthozoa; Malacalcyonacea; Plexauridae
Source: the annotation of a GenBank genome assembly